AAUCAACGCUGGCGGCGUGCCUAACACAUGCAAGUCGCACGAGAAAGCGGACUUCGGUCUGUGAGUACAGUGGCGCACGGGUGAGUAACACGUGAAUCAUCUACCUUCGAGUGGGGAAUAACUGGGAGAAAUCUCAGCUAAUACCGCAUAACACCUACGGGUCAAAGCAGCAAUGCGCUUGAAGAGGAGUUCGCGGCAGAUUAGUUAGUUGGCGGGGUAAUGGCCCACCAAGACGAUGCUCUGUAUCCGGCCUAAGAGGGCGCACGGACACACUGGAACUGAAACACGGUCCAGACGCCUACGGGAGGCAGCAGUGGGGAAUUUUGCGCAAUGGGGGAAACCCUGACGCAGCAACGCCGCGUGGAGGAUGAAAUCCCUUGGGGUGUAAACUCCUUUCGAUCGGGACGAUUAUGGCGGUACCGAUAGAAGAAGCCCCGGCUAACUUCGUGCCAGCCGCCGCGGUAA
This 465-nucleotide ribosomal RNA is filed under the name uncultured bacterium. Its description in RNAcentral is "partial 16S ribosomal RNA". It matches the Rfam family "Bacterial small subunit ribosomal RNA", at positions 32 to 523 of the family's 1533-position model. The record is from RNAcentral.